RNAcentral lists this long non-coding RNA (1376 nucleotides) under Oryza sativa (Asian cultivated rice). RNAcentral describes it as "long non-coding RNA (OSAT_LNC001585)". The record is from RNAcentral. Lineage: Eukaryota; Viridiplantae; Streptophyta; Magnoliopsida; Poales; Poaceae.
UUCACGCCUCGCCGCCCUCGCACCGGCCGCCGCCGCCGCGCCGGCCUGUUAGAGAGGAGAGGAGAGGAAUAGAUAAGGUUGAGGAGAGAAGUUAAAAGGAGAGGAGAUAAGGUUGAGGAGAGGAGGAGAGACGAGUUAAAGGAGAGGAGGAGAUACCUCGAUCCGAUCGCGCACGCCUCACCGAUCUCAGCGUCGAUAUUUUUUCCCGGUUGGGACUAUAAAUAGAUCUUUAGUCCGGGAGUAAAGCGUAUGACGAUCUUUUUUCCCGGUUGGUGUUAUCAACCGGGACUACAAAUAGAUCGUUAGUCCCGGUUGGUAACACCAACCGGUACUAAAGAUUAAAAAGUACCCUGGAGCUUUUAAACCGGGACUAAAGAUGUUUUUAGUCCCAAUUUUUUAUACAACUGGGACUAUUGUGAAAUCUGGUCGACCGACCAAAGAUGGUUUCUCCACCAGUGAAUGUCUUGUAGAUUAUUUUUCCCUUCUCAUUUAUGUUUCUUUAAUUCAAUAUAUUGUGGGACCCACCUAAUGCCAUCCAUAGUAGGGGCAAACUGUAACUUCGUUUCAAGAAAGCAGGGGUAAAUUCGCAAACCCUAAAAAAUAAGGGCAAAAUCACAGUUGCAGUUAAAAGUUGGGGUAUAAACACAAUUAUCCCCGAUGGCUUUGCGGAGGACGGAAAAAAAAUUAGGUGUGGUGGUGUGGCCCAUGGGCUAUCGCGAGAAUUAGGCCAUAGCAAGAAGAAAGGGAAAAAAAACAAUCUCAAUGCACGAUAUUAUAUGAACAAUAUCCUAUCAUGAUGCAAUCUAAAACAUGCCAACAAGCACUAGUCAUAAGCUCACAAUUCAUCAUCCAUUUACCAAAAGUUUAAAUAGAAGAGGCACUCAGAAAUACCUCAAGAUUUUAGCUGUCAACAAUACAUCACAUGAAAGAACUAGUGUGGAUAGAUAGACAUGUAGUGAUGUAGAAACUGCAAAACAAAUGGAAAAGAUUGAUUAGUAUACUAUAUAAUUGAGAAUUGAGAUUAAUAAGAUAAAGAGUAAUUGAGAUUGACUCUGCCUGCUCCCUGCUGCCCCUGCCUGCGGGCAGCUCUACCUGAUUGCUAGCUAGCCGCCUGCCUCCCGCGGCCGCCACGCAGCUGCCUGCCUGGCCGGCUGGCCGCCGCCUGCCUCCCCACGCCGGCACAUCGCCGCGCCGCUGCCUGGCCGCCGCGGCGCCGCCUGCCUCCCCGCGCGGCCUCACCCUGCCGGCUUCCACGCCCCUCCUCGAGCAGUGCCCCCACCGACCACCGCAGCGCCGCCGCUAGCCCCCGUCGGCCGUCGCUUGCCCUCAGUCAGAUUGAGGAUUUGGGGGGAUUGGGAAAUUUUGGAGUUAGGGUU